GAGAAAUUCCCACUUUUUUAUACUAACAAAACGAUCGGCACUAUCCCGGCAAGUUACUAAGGCGACCCAGAUGAAUUCCAAUAACACCUUCUCCAAGAUCAAGCUCAGAUGGAAAAGAGAAGAAAGAAGUAUUCAGUUGGCAUCAACAAGAUGAAAAGGGUGCAGCAGGAUAUUGUUCCUUUUGUUCUGGAGGCUGAGAAGUUCAAGAUUAAGGUGCCAGCAGAUUUGGUUUCUGGUGAGGACAAGCUUUCUGGUUCAGAAAUGAUAUUUUUCAGUUGUGUCUUCCCAUGAUGAUGAAGAGGAGUCUUUCUAGGUCCUCUUUUAUGAGGGCACUCCUCCCGAAGGUCUUAUCUCACUACCUUCAGCUUGGAGGUGAGGAUUUCAACAAGUGAGUUUCAAAAAAUUUUUAUUUAUCAAUGAAAUAUAACCUCCCAUUCUUCAGGUUGUACAUGAUUUGGAGUUACAUUGGUCAUGUAUACAUACAUGAACAUAGGAAUGUAAUGUCCGAUUCAUUCAACUGACUUUCCUACUCCCAUUCCCCCUCUCUUCCCUUCAUUCCCCUUUGUCUAAUCCAAAGUAUUUCUAUUCUUCCCUAUAACCUCCCUCCC
This is a long non-coding RNA of Sciurus carolinensis (gray squirrel), 608 nucleotides long. RefSeq lists it as uncharacterized. NCBI's taxonomy places the organism in Eukaryota, Metazoa, Chordata, Mammalia, Rodentia, Sciuridae. The record is from RefSeq and is a predicted model, not a curated record. The transcript is spliced from 3 exons.